GACGAACGCUGGCGGCGUGCUUAACACAUGCAAGUCGAACGGAAAGGCCCUGCUUGCAGGGUACUCGAGUGGCGAACGGGUGAGUAACACGUGGGUGAUCUGCCCUGCACGUCGGGAUAAGCCUGGGAAACUGGGUCUAAUACCGGAUAGGAGCCAUUUUUAGUGUGAUGGUUGGAAAGUUUUUUCGGUGUAGGAUGAGCUCGCGGCCUAUCAGCUUGUUGGUGGGGUAAUGGCCUACCAAGGCGGCGACGGGUAGCCGGCCUGAGAGGGUGGACGGCCACAUUGGGACUGAGAUACGGCCCAGACUCCUACGGGAGGCAGCAGUGGGGAAUAUUGCACAAUGGGCGCUAGCCUGAUGCAGCGACGCCGCGUGGGGGAUGACGGUCUUCGGGUUGUAAACUCCUUUCGCUAGGGACGAAGCUUUUUGUGACGGUACCUAGAGAAGAAGCACCGGCUAACUACGUG
Molecule: ribosomal RNA, 465 nt
Filed under: uncultured bacterium
Lineage: Bacteria
Description: partial 16S ribosomal RNA
Rfam family: Bacterial small subunit ribosomal RNA
Source: RNAcentral